RNAcentral lists this ribosomal RNA (374 nucleotides) under uncultured eukaryote. RNAcentral describes it as "partial 18S ribosomal RNA". It matches the Rfam family "Eukaryotic small subunit ribosomal RNA", at positions 592 to 976 of the family's 1831-position model. The record is from RNAcentral.
CAAGAGCGUAUGUAAAAGUUGUUGCAGUUAAAAAGCUCGUAGUUGAACCUUGGGUUUGGUUGGCCGGUCCGCUUUUUUGCGAGUACUGGAUUCAACCGAGCCUUUCCUUCUGGCUAACCAGUCGUUUCGGCGGCUGGCGAACCAGGAUUUUUACUUUGAGAAAAUUAGAGUGUACAAAGCAGGCAUUAGCUUGAAUAUAUUAGCAUGGAAUAAUAGAAUAGGACGUUAUGGUUCUAUUUUGUUGGUUUCUAGGACCAUCGUAAUGAUUAAUAGGGACGGUCGGGGGCAUCAGUAUUCAGUUGUCAGAGGUGAAAUUCUUGGAUUUACUGAAGACUAACUACUGCGAAAGCAUUUGCCAAGGACGUUUUCAUUAA